GGUUCUUUGAUCCUUGUGUGGGGUGUUCUAGAUAUGGUGAAGUAUGCAUGGAGCUUGUGAGUAAUCAAUAAGGGAUCAGUCACUCUUGAUAAGAGGAGUGAACAUCCUAUGUGAUCUCAUAGGUCGUUGAUUCGAAAGUCUUUGGCCAAAGUAGGAUGAUAAUUAAAAAAAAAAUUUAAUAUAUCAUCAACUGAAUCAUCCCC
Molecule: long non-coding RNA, 203 nt
Filed under: Elaeis guineensis (African oil palm)
Lineage: Eukaryota; Viridiplantae; Streptophyta; Magnoliopsida; Arecales; Arecaceae
Description: long non-coding RNA (EGUI_LNC044174)
Source: RNAcentral